GACGAACGCUGGCGGCGUGCCUAAUACAUGCAAGUAGGACGCACAGUUUAUACCGUAGCUUGCUACACCAUAGACUGUGAGUUGCGAACGGGUGAGUAACGCGUAGGUAACCUGCCUAUUAGAGGGGGAUAACUAUUGGAAACGAUAGCUAAUACCGCAUAACAGUAUGUAACACAUGUUAGAUGCUUGAAAGAUGCAAUUGCAUCGCUAGUAGAUGGACCUGCGUUGUAUUAGCUAGUAGGUAGGGUAAUGGCCUACCUAGGCGACGAUACAUAGCCGACCUGAGAGGGUGAUCGGCCACACUGGGACUGAGACACGGCCCAGACUCCUACGGGAGGCAGCAGUAGGGAAUCUUCGGCAAUGGGGGGAACCCUGACCGAGCAACGCC
RNAcentral lists this ribosomal RNA (388 nucleotides) under Streptococcus anginosus. Its description in RNAcentral is "bacterial SSU rRNA". It matches the Rfam family "Bacterial small subunit ribosomal RNA", at positions 28 to 398 of the family's 1533-position model. The record is from RNAcentral. Lineage: Bacteria; Bacillati; Bacillota; Bacilli; Lactobacillales; Streptococcaceae.